Molecule: ribosomal RNA, 763 nt
Filed under: uncultured Streptococcus sp.
Lineage: Bacteria; Bacillati; Bacillota; Bacilli; Lactobacillales; Streptococcaceae
Description: bacterial SSU rRNA
Rfam family: Bacterial small subunit ribosomal RNA
Source: RNAcentral
GACGAACGCUGGCGGCGUGCCUAAUACAUGCAAGUAGAACGCUGAAGGAGGAGCUUGCUUCUCUGGAUGAGUUGCGAACGGGUGAGUAACGCGUAGGUAACCUGCCUGGUAGCGGGGGAUAACUAUUGGAAACGAUAGCUAAUACCGCAUAACAGUAGAUGUUGCAUGACAUUUGCUUAAAAGGUGCAAUUGCAUCACUACCAGAUGGACCUGCGUUGUAUUAGCUAGUUGGUGGGGUAACGGCUCACCAAGGCGACGAUACAUAGCCGACCUGAGAGGGUGAUCGGCCACACUGGGACUGAGACACGGCCCAGACUCCUACGGGAGGCAGCAGUAGGGAAUCUUCGGCAAUGGACGGAAGUCUGACCGAGCAACGCCGCGUGAGUGAAGAAGGUUUUCGGAUCGUAAAGCUCUGUUGUAAGAGAAGAACGGGUGUGAGAGUGGAAAGUUCACACUGUGACGGUAUCUUACCAGAAAGGGACGGCUAACUACGUGCCAGCAGCUGCGGUAAUACGUAGGUCCCGAGCGUUGUCCGGAUUUAUUGGGCGUAAAGCGAGCGCAGGCGGUUAGAUAAGUCUGAAGUUAAAGGCUGUGGCUUAACCAUAGUACGCUUUGGAAACUGUUUAACUUGAGUGCAAGAGGGGAGAGUGGAAUUCCAUGUGUAGCGGUGAAAUGCGUAGAUAUAUGGAGGAACACCGGUGGCGAAAGCGGCUCUCUGGCUUGUAACUGACGCUGAGGCUCGAAAGCGUGGGGAGCAGACAGG